This 376-nucleotide ribosomal RNA is filed under the name uncultured Hydrogenophaga sp. RNAcentral's name for it is "bacterial SSU rRNA". It matches the Rfam family "Bacterial small subunit ribosomal RNA", at positions 1003 to 1382 of the family's 1533-position model. Lineage: Bacteria; Pseudomonadati; Pseudomonadota; Betaproteobacteria; Burkholderiales; Comamonadaceae. The record is from RNAcentral.
GAGAUGGAUUCGUGCUCGAAAGAGAACCUGCACACAGGUGCUGCAUGGCUGUCGUCAGCUCGUGUCGUGAGAUGUUGGGUUAAGUCCCGCAACGAGCGCAACCCUUGCCAUCAGUUGCUACGAAAGGGCACUCUGAUGGGACUGCCGGUGACAAACCGGAGGAAGGUGGGGAUGACGUCAAGUCCUCAUGGCCCUUAUAGGUGGGGCUACACACGUCAUACAAUGGCCGGUACAAAGGGCAGCAAACCCGCGAGGGGGGAGCCAAUCCAUCAAAGCCGGUCGUAGUCCGGAUCGCAGUCUGCAACUCGACUGCGUGAAGUCGGAAUCGCUAGUAAUCGUGGAUCAGCAUGUCACGGUGAAUACGUUCCCGGGUCUU